RNAcentral lists this ribosomal RNA (253 nucleotides) under uncultured bacterium. Its description in RNAcentral is "partial 16S ribosomal RNA". It matches the Rfam family "Bacterial small subunit ribosomal RNA", at positions 524 to 776 of the family's 1533-position model. The record is from RNAcentral.
GACAGAGGGGGCAAGCGUUGCUCGGAAUUACUGGGCGUAAAGGGCGCGUAGGCGGGAUGGCAAGUCGGUCGUGAAAUCCCUCGGCUCAACCGAGGAACGUCGAUCGAUACUGCUGUUCUUGAGGAUUGCAGAGGAGACUGGAAUUCCCGGUGUAGCGGUGAAAUGUGUAGAGAUCGGGAGGAACACCGGUGGCGAAGGCGGGUCUCUGGGCAAUUCCUGACGCUGAGGCGCGAAAGCGUGGGUAGCGAACAGG